AUACGGAGGAUCCAAGCGUUAUCCGGAAUCAUUGGGUUUAAAGGGUCCGUAGGUGGGUUUGUAAGUCAGUGGUGAAAGUUUUCGGCUCAACCGGAAAAUUGCCAUUGAUACUGCAAGUCUUGAAUCAUUAUGAAGUGGUUAGAAUGUGUAGUGUAGCGGUGAAAUGCAUAGAUAUUACGCAGAAUACCGAUUGCGAAGGCAGAUCACUAAUAAUGUAUUGACGCUAAGGGACGAAAGCGUGGGUAGCGAACAGGAUUAGAAACCCCAGUAGUCC
This 274-nucleotide ribosomal RNA is filed under the name uncultured bacterium. RNAcentral's name for it is "partial 16S ribosomal RNA". It matches the Rfam family "Bacterial small subunit ribosomal RNA", at positions 523 to 796 of the family's 1533-position model. The record is from RNAcentral.